This 960-nucleotide small RNA is filed under the name uncultured Acidimicrobiales bacterium. Its description in RNAcentral is "bacterial SSU rRNA". The stretch from base 1 to 491 matches the Rfam family "Bacterial small subunit ribosomal RNA", at positions 1045 to 1533 of the family's 1533-position model. Lineage: Bacteria; Bacillati; Actinomycetota; Acidimicrobiia; Acidimicrobiales. The record is from RNAcentral.
AUGGCUGUCGUCAGCUCGUGUCGUGAGAUGUUGGGUUAAGUCCCGCAACGAGCGCAACCCUUGUCCUAUGUUGCCAGCGCGUAAUGGCGGGGACUCGUAGGAGACUGCCGGGGUCAACUCGGAGGAAGGUGGGGAUGACGUCAAGUCAUCAUGCCCCUUACGUCCAGGGCUGCACACAUGCUACAAUGGCCGGUACAACGGGCUGCUAUCCCGCGAGGGGGAGCCAAUCCCAAAAGCCGGUCUCAGUUCGGAUUGGAGUCUGCAACUCGACUCCAUGAAGUCGGAGUCGCUAGUAAUCCCGGAUCAGCAACGCCGGGGUGAAUACGUUCCCGGGCCUUGUACACACCGCCCGUCACACCACGAAAGUCGGUAACACCCGAAGCCGGUGGCCCAACCCUUUUGGGAGGGAGCUGUCGAAGGUGGGAUCGGUGAUUGGGGUGAAGUCGUAACAAGGUGGCCGUACCGGAAGGUGCGGCUGGAUCACCUCCUUUCUAAGGAGUCUUUCCUGACCAUUCCGGUCAGGGACUUCCUAGUCGAUCACUGGCUAUUCGGCUUUCUUUCGUUUUCCGGCGGCUGCCGGCUGGCCGUGUCCUUUCGGGGAUGCGCCUGGCUAGCCCCGUAUUCCGGGCACGAGAGACUGCUGGACCUCACUAUUCCGUUUUGAGGGAGUGGCAUAUUCACGUCACUUCCGUCGCGAUGCCGACUGUCCCAUUUGGCGACGGUCGGCCGCUCGCGUAUCCCGUACGGCCGACCCCCCAAGCUCGUUAUUAGCUCUCGGGGCGCCGCGCGUCCCUUGAGAAUUCCAUAGCGAGCACGAGCAUCUUUGUUCUCCAAGCUACAAAGAGCCAACGGUGGAUGCCUAGGCGCCUGAAGCCGAAGAAGGACGUGGGAGGCUGCGAAAAGCCACGGGGAGCUGCCUACCAAGCUUCGAUCCGUGGAUGUCCGAAUGGGGAAACCCGG